UUUUAAUUUUUUUUUUUCUCUUUAAAAUCUUGUAAUGAUUUGAGAUCUUGAAGAAUGCUUAAGGAACAUCAUAAAAUAACGAGGGGGUUGUUUCUCUUUUUUUGUUUCUUAUGGAUUGAUUGGAUAUUAACAUGAAAUAUUGAUUCUUUAUUUUUCUCUUUAAAAAUCUUGUUACCGUUUUGAGGUCAUAAUAACUGCUGAAGGAAAAAAAGCAUGAAGAGGAAAACUGAAGCUUUUCUUCAUGCUUCAAAUAUUG
This 256-nucleotide unclassified non-coding RNA is filed under the name Hevea brasiliensis (rubber tree). Lineage: Eukaryota; Viridiplantae; Streptophyta; Magnoliopsida; Malpighiales; Euphorbiaceae. The record is from RNAcentral.